Molecule: unclassified non-coding RNA, 274 nt
Filed under: Hevea brasiliensis (rubber tree)
Lineage: Eukaryota; Viridiplantae; Streptophyta; Magnoliopsida; Malpighiales; Euphorbiaceae
Source: RNAcentral
CACGUGGAAGUUCCAUAAUAAAAUUUGAUAGGUCAAGGGGUUUAGUGGUAUUACAGAGACUGAGAGGUUUAUGACUAAUUGGUGAAUGUUGCUACUCAAGAAAAGACAAGAAAGCAACCAUAAAGCAAACCACUGAACAUACUAUUAACUUUGUUCAUAUUAUGUAUCUAUUUCAUUGCAUAAGAUAUGUGUAUUACUCGAUUGGAUUUCUUUUGAUACUUUUAACAGUCAUGCUCAUAGGAUGUUCUUAUAUGUAACUUUACACUUGAUUGAG